GUGAUUAAAUCGAGCGUGUCUUCAUUGACCGCUCACCCCUUCUCACCAUCCACAUACACCUGUGCAUUGUUUAGCCUGAGCCGGUUUUCCGGUCCAGGUUAUCAUUUCGUACAAACUCUAGUCUUAUGAAUGUAAACGUUUUAAUAACAUAAU
Molecule: unclassified non-coding RNA, 153 nt
Filed under: soil metagenome
Description: partial internal transcribed spacer 1
Source: RNAcentral